This 1032-nucleotide long non-coding RNA is filed under the name Malus domestica (apple). RNAcentral describes it as "long non-coding RNA (MDOM_LNC014027)". Lineage: Eukaryota; Viridiplantae; Streptophyta; Magnoliopsida; Rosales; Rosaceae. The record is from RNAcentral.
AAGUCACUUUAAAACUCUUUUAACAAGACAAACAUGAACCCAAAAAUCCACCCUUUGGAUUUGGCCGAAUCUCCCCACAUACAUGGCACCAAAUUUUAGUUCCAAUAUUCAUGCUUAAAUGAACUACAUCUACAACAUUUGAGAUGCUAAAUUUUCAAGCAAAAUUUAAAUUCAAAAGCAAGAACAAAGCUUGUAACAUUUACAACAUUUAAAUCACAAACCAUGAAAAACACAAAACCCAAAAGGAUUCACCAUAAACUAGACCUAGGCUCUUGAUACCACUUGAAAGAAACAUUUUGUCCUAGCUAAGAACAUGUGAGAAUAUUUGAACACAUAGGCAAACUAUUAACAUAUUAAAGUAGGCAUGCAUUCAAAAACAAUUCUAAAACCCAUGACUUUCAAAGCCUAGUGAAUGGUGAACCAUGAGACUCUUCAACAACAUUAAAGAGAAUGAAGGAUUUAGAGAUUCAUUACCCUUGAAGCUCAUCCUUGUUUACACAAGGGAUUCACCCAAGUGGAGGGCCUUCAAGUCACCUCCUAGCUCCUUGGAUCUUCCUUGUGAUUUUCUUCCUUUUGAUGCUCCUUUGCUCCUUGAGGAUGUGAGGAAAGGAUCUCCAAAAACACCAAAGAUUUGGUGUCUCUAAGUCUCCACACCAAGGAUGAGGUGUGAAGAUGAAAUGGAUGACUUAGAGAAGAAAGGAUUGCUAGCUAUCUCUUCCCUAAGUGGCCGGCCUCUUUUAGAGAAAAAAAAGAGAAAGUGUUUCUCAUCUUUGUCUCAAGAAAACCCUAAUGAGGUAAAAGCUAUAAAGAUGCUUUUAUAUCUCUUUUCUUAGGUGAGUGGCAAACUUGCAAUUAAGCAAAACUUCCCACUACCCUUGCUAUAGCCGGCCAUCUUGUGUGAUUGGGCUAUUUGCCCAUAUUUGUUUUAGUUGUUAUACAACUUAAACAUAAUGGACCUAGUGGACCAAACCCUUUUGGACCCGGAAGCCCAAAACUAACUUAAAAGCCCAAUACGAACCUUUCGUAUAAUUA